AACACAUGCAAGUCGAGCGGUAACAGAAAGUAGCUUGCUACUUUGCUGACGAGCGGCGGACGGGUGAGUAAUGCUUGGGAACAUGCCUUGAGGUGGGGGACAACAGUUGGAAACGACUGCUAAUACCGCAUAACGUCUACGGACCAAAGGGGGCUUCGGCUCUCGCCUUUAGAUUGGCCCAAGUGGGAUUAGCUAGUUGGUGAGGUAAUGGCUCACCAAGGCGACGAUCCCUAGCUGGUUUGAGAGGAUGAUCAGCCACACUGGGACUGAGACACGGCCCAGACUCCUACGGGAGGCAGCAGUGGGGAAUAUUGCACAAUGGGCGCAAGCCUGAUGCAGCCAUGCCGCGUGUGUGAAGAAGGCCUUCGGGUUGUAAAGCACUUUCAGUCAGGAGGAAAGGUUAGUAGUUAAUACCUGCUAGCUGUGACGUUACUGACAGAAGAAGCACCGGCUAACUCCGUGCCAGCAGCCGCGGUAAUACGGAGGGUGCGAGCGUUAAUCGGAAUUACUGGGCGUAAAGCGUACGCAGGCGGUUUGUUAAGCGAGAUGUGAAAGCCCCGGGCUCAACCUGGGAACUGCAUUUCGAACUGGCAAACUAGAGUGUGAUAGAGGGUGGUAGAAUUUCAGGUGUAGCGGUGAAAUGCGUAGAGAUCUGAAGGAAUACCGAUGGCGAAGGCAGCCACCUGGGUCAACACUGACGCUCAUGUACGAAAGCGUGGGGAGCAAACGGGAUUAGAUACCCCGGUAGUCCACGCCGUAAACGAUGUCUACUAGAAGCUCGGAUCCUCGGAUUUGUUUUUCAAAGCUAACGCAUUAAGUAGACC
Molecule: ribosomal RNA, 824 nt
Filed under: uncultured Pseudoalteromonas sp.
Lineage: Bacteria; Pseudomonadati; Pseudomonadota; Gammaproteobacteria; Alteromonadales; Pseudoalteromonadaceae
Description: bacterial SSU rRNA
Rfam family: Bacterial small subunit ribosomal RNA
Source: RNAcentral